RNAcentral lists this ribosomal RNA (2091 nucleotides) under uncultured organism. RNAcentral's name for it is "bacterial LSU rRNA". It matches the Rfam family "Bacterial large subunit ribosomal RNA", at positions 1 to 2111 of the family's 2925-position model. The record is from RNAcentral.
AAAAGUAAGUAAGGGCACAUGGCGGAUGCCUUGGCUCUCGGAGGCGAUGAAGGACGUGAUAAGCUGCGAUAAGCUGCGGGUAGGUGCAAAUGACCUUUGAUCCGCGGAUUUCCGAAUGGGACAACCCGGUACUUUGAAGAAGUAUCAUCCUGCAUUGCAGGAGGCUAACGCAGGGAACUGAAACAUCUUAGUACCUGCAGGAAAAGAAAAUAAACAAUGAUUCCCCCAGUAGUGGCGAGCGAACGGGGAACAGCCCAAACCACCCAUGUUACGGCAUGUGUGGGGUUGUAGGACCACGUCGUGGCAAGAAAGUUGGUGAGCAGAAUGUUCUGGAAAGUACAGCCAUAGAGCAUGACAGCUGCGUAUGCGAAGCCAAGCGAAGCCUAGUGGUAUCCUGAGUAGCGCGGAGCACGAGGAAUUCUGCGUGAAUCUGCCGGGACCAUCCGGUAAGGCUAAAUACUCCCGAGAGACCGAUAGUGAACCAGUACUGUGAAGGAAAGGUGAAAAGCACUUCGAACAGAAGAGUGAAAUAGUUCCUGAAACCAUGUGCCUACAAGCGGUCGGAGCACCUUCUGGUGUGACGGCGUGCCUUUUGCAUAAUGAACCUACGAGUUACUUUUUCCGGCGAGGUUAAGGAUUUCAGAUCUGCAGCCGAAGCGAAAGCGAGUCUGAACAGGGCGUAUAGUCGGAAGGAGUAGACGCGAAACCAAGUGAUCUACCCUUGGGCAGGUUGAAGGAUGGGUAACACCAUCUGGAGGACCGAACCAAUAAGCGUUGAAAAGCUUCUGGAUGACCUGAGGGUGGGGGUGAAAGGCUAAUCAAACUUGGAGAUAGCUCGUACUCCCCGAAAUGCAUUUAGGUGCAGCCUUGACUUAUACUGGCAUGAGGUAGAGCGACUGAUAAGAUGCGAGGGCUUCACCGCCUAUCAAGUCUUGACAAACUCCGAAUGCGUGUCAGUUCUAUGUCAGGAGUGAGGGCAUGGGUGCUAAGGUCCAUGUCCUAAAGGAGAACAAUCCGGACCAACAGCUAAGGUCCCGAAAUGAAUACUAAGUUGAACUAACGAAGUCAGAUUGCUAAGACAGCUAGGAUGUUGGCUUGGAAGCAGCCAUUCAUUUAAAGAGUGCGUAACAGCUCACUAGUCGAGGAGUUUGGCGUGGAUAAUAAUCGGGCAUAAGUAUUCUACCGAAGCUUUGGGAUGAGAAAUCAUCGGUAGGGGAGCAUUCCACUCGGCGUCGAAGGUGAAGCGCGAGCUUUGCUGGAGCGUGUGGAAAAGCAAAUGUAGGUAUAAGUAACGAUAAAGGGGGUGGGAAACCCCCUCGCCGAAAGACUAAGGUUUCCUGAUCAACGCUAAUCGGAUCAGGGUAAGUCGGGUCCUAAGGCUCAGCCGAACGGCGAGGCCGAUGGCAGAACCGGUUAAUAUUCCGGUACUACCUGUGGGAGUGACGUGGAGACGGAGUCGUGACAGCGCCGCGGACUGACGGAAUAGUCCGUUGAAGGGUGUAGAUGCUGAUUGUUCCAGGCAAAUCCGGAGCAAGAGUCGAACCUGAUAGUAUGGAGCGUUCUUAGAACAAUCCAAUAGUGCGUGUAAUCAUACUUCCAAGAAAAUCCGCUAAACUUAAUCCUGCAGGUACCCGUACCGCAAACGGACACACGUAGUCGGGUUGAAUAUACUAAGGCGCUUGAGUGAUUCACGGUUAAGGAACUAGGCAAACUGACCCUGUAACUUCGGGAUAAAGGGUCCUCGCUUUACGGCGAGGCGCAGAGAAUAGGUCCAGGCAACUGUUUAACAAAAACACAGGGCUGUGCAAAAUUGAAAGAUGAAGUAUACAGCCUGACACCUGCCCGGUGCUGGAAGGUUAAGAGGAGAUGUCAUCGCAAGAGAAGCAUUGAAUUGAAGCCCCAGUAAACGGCGGCCGUAACUAUAACGGUCCUAAGGUAGCGAAAUUCCUUGUCGGGUAAGUUCCGACCUGCACGAAUGGUGUAAUGAUCUGGACGCUGUCUCAACCGUGAGCUCAGUGAAAUUGUAGUAUCGGUGAAGAUGCCGAUUACCCGCGAUGGGACGAAAAGACCCCGUGAACCUUUACUAUAGCU